This 468-nucleotide ribosomal RNA is filed under the name uncultured bacterium. Its description in RNAcentral is "bacterial SSU rRNA". It matches the Rfam family "Bacterial small subunit ribosomal RNA", at positions 335 to 802 of the family's 1533-position model. The record is from RNAcentral.
ACUCCUACGGGAGGCAGCAGUGGGGAAUAUUGCACAAUGGGCGCAAGCCUGAUGCAGCCAUGCCGCGUGUGUGAAGAAGGCCUUCGGGUUGUAAAGCACUANAUGUGNAAUCUUAGUCGCUAAUAUCGGCUAGCUGUGACGUUAGCAACAGAAGAAGCACCGGCUAACUCCGUGCCAGCAGCCGCGGUAAUACGGAGGGUGCGAGCGUUAAUCGGAAUUACUGGGCGUAAAGCGCGUGUAGGUGGCUUGUUAAGCCAGAUGUGAAAGCCCCGGGCUCAACCUGGGAACUGCAUUUGGAACUGGCAGGCUAGAGUUUUGUAGAGGGUGGUAGAAUUUUCAGGUGUAGCGGUGAAAUGCGUAGAGAUCUGAAGGAACACCGGUGGCGAAGGCGACCACCUGGCCAAUAACUGACACUGAGACGCGAAGGCGUGGGUAGCAAACGGGAUUAGAUACCCUGGUAGCGAGUAG